Ailuropoda melanoleuca (giant panda) is the source of this 732-nucleotide long non-coding RNA. RefSeq lists it as uncharacterized. The record is from RefSeq and is a predicted model, not a curated record. The transcript has 4 exons. Lineage: Eukaryota; Metazoa; Chordata; Mammalia; Carnivora; Ursidae.
UUAUUGGAUGAGUCAAGUCAUCCAACGCCCAGCCCACCUCUGUGCCUGACUUGAACAGGCUGGGACUUUCUUAGGUCUUGCCUUCAAAAUGAUGCAAGACUUGCAGUGGGAAACUAUUCCAGAAUAAAAGAACACAUGGAGACUAAUUGUGAUGAAUGUAUUAGCCUGAUGAUGGAAAUUAAAAGUUGGCCCCUGUAACAUAAAUGGAUCCCGGUCUUCUCAUUGUUUGUGAGCUGCUUUGGCGUUUGGACUGAUGGAAGGUCCUCAAGGAUUUCUCUUCCCCUGGCCCUGCUUUGCGAUCUUGGAGGACCCAUGUGAUGAAUUUGCUGUUGUCAGGGUGACAGCUCGAGGAGAAUGAGAUUUGGAAAUGCAAAACACAAAGAAAUACCUAGCCCAGGAUCACAGACCCUGGAGGUGGCAGAGCCGAGGUGCCAUCCCAGAGACUCAAGACAGUCGAGCUCAUGCUUAGAACGAUGCGGCUAUACAGCCUCUCUCUCCCAACAGAGAAUUGGCCACCUCUUCCCUGGGGAUGCUUCAAGAAGAAAAUGGGGAUCCUCCGAAUGUUGACCUGCACUAAGGUGGACUGUGCUCUUGAAAUGAGGCAUAAGUGAUAUUCAGCCAAGUAAAAAUUAAAGCUGUUUAAAGGGAGGGGUGUAAAUUUCCUGGAAAGCAGGAAAGGGUACCGACUUCAACAAGCUUACCUAAAAUAAACUUAAGAGUAUUACAGCAAGU